RNAcentral lists this ribosomal RNA (253 nucleotides) under uncultured bacterium. RNAcentral's name for it is "partial 16S ribosomal RNA". It matches the Rfam family "Bacterial small subunit ribosomal RNA", at positions 524 to 776 of the family's 1533-position model. The record is from RNAcentral.
UACGUAAGGGGCUAGCGUUGUUCGGAAUUAUUGGGCGUAAAGGGCGUGUAGGCGGAUUAAUAAGUUGGAUGUGAAAUAUCUCGGCUCAACUGAGAAACUGCGUUCAAAACUGUUAAUCUAGAGUUUGGAAGAGGAAGACAGAAUUCCUGGUGUAGGGGUGAAAUCUAUAGAUAUCAGGAAGAAUACCGAUUGCGAAGGCGGUCUUCUGGUCCAAAACUGACGCUGAUACGCGAAAGCCAGGGGAGCGAACGGG